RNAcentral lists this ribosomal RNA (512 nucleotides) under uncultured bacterium. RNAcentral describes it as "bacterial SSU rRNA". It matches the Rfam family "Bacterial small subunit ribosomal RNA", at positions 19 to 518 of the family's 1533-position model. The record is from RNAcentral.
AUGGCUCAGGAUGAACGCUAGCUACAGGCUUAACACAUGCAAGUCGAGGGGCAGCAUUGGAGUAGCAAUACUUCAGAUGGCGACCGGCGCACGGGUGAGUAACACGUAUCCAACCUGCCGCUUACUCGGGGAUAGCCUUUCGAAAGAAAGAUUAAUACCCGAUGGUAUAAAGAGUUCGCAUGUUCUCUUUAUUAAAGAAUUUCGGUAAGCGAUGGGGAUGCGUUCCAUUAGAUAGUUGGCGGGGUAACGGCCCACCAAGUCUACGAUGGAUAGGGGUUCUGAGAGGAAGGUCCCCCCACAUUGGAACUGAGACACGGUCCAAACUCCUACGGGAGGCAGCAGUGAGGAAUAUUGGUCAAUGGACGAGAGUCUGAACCAGCCAAAAGUAGCGUGAAGGAUGACUGCCCUAUGGGUUGUAAACUUCUUUUAUAAGGGAAUAAAGUGAGGGACGUGUCCCUUUUUCGUAUGUACCUUAUGGAAUAAGGAUCGGCUAACUCCGUGCCAGCCGCCGC